GCCGGUGACAAACCGGAGGAAGGUGGGGAUGACGUCAAGUCCUCAUGGCCCUUAUAGGUGGGGCUACACACGUCAUACAAUGGCCGGUACAAAGGGCUGCCAACCGCGAGGGGGAGCCAAUCCCAUAAAAUCGGUCGUAGUCCGGAUCGCAGUCUGCAACUCGACUGCGUGAAGUCGGAAUCGCUAGUAAUCGUGGAUCAGAAUGUCACGGUGAAUACGUUCCCGGGUCUU
RNAcentral lists this ribosomal RNA (231 nucleotides) under uncultured Comamonadaceae bacterium. Its description in RNAcentral is "partial 16S ribosomal RNA". It matches the Rfam family "Bacterial small subunit ribosomal RNA", at positions 1151 to 1382 of the family's 1533-position model. Lineage: Bacteria; Pseudomonadati; Pseudomonadota; Betaproteobacteria; Burkholderiales; Comamonadaceae. The record is from RNAcentral.